GGAGAGGUGCCGGAGCGGUCGAACGGGGCGGUCUCGAAACCCGUUGAUCCUUUUGGGUCCCAGGGUUCGAAUCCCUGCCUCUCCG
This 85-nucleotide transfer RNA is filed under the name Candidatus Zixiibacteriota bacterium. Its description in RNAcentral is "candidate division Zixibacteria bacterium tRNA-Ser". It matches the Rfam family "tRNA". Rfam says of the family: Transfer RNA (tRNA) molecules are approximately 80 nucleotides in length. Their secondary structure includes four short double-helical elements and three loops (D, anti-codon, and T loops). Lineage: Bacteria; Pseudomonadati; Candidatus Zixiibacteriota. The record is from RNAcentral.